RNAcentral lists this ribosomal RNA (460 nucleotides) under uncultured Thermovirga sp. Its description in RNAcentral is "bacterial SSU rRNA". It matches the Rfam family "Bacterial small subunit ribosomal RNA", at positions 933 to 1382 of the family's 1533-position model. The record is from RNAcentral. Lineage: Bacteria; Thermotogati; Synergistota; Synergistia; Synergistales; Thermovirgaceae.
UGGAGCACGUGGUUUAAUUCGAUGCAAACCGAAGAACCUUACCUGGGUUUGACAUGUACGUGUUACUGAUCUGAGAGGAGAGGGACCCAUGCCUUCGGUAUGGGAGCGUACACAGGUGCUGCAUGGCUGUCGUUAGCUCGUGUCGUGAGAUGUUGGGUUAAGUCCCGCAACGAGCGCAACCCUGCAUCCAGUUGCCAUCGGGCGAGCCGGGCACUCUGGAGGGACUGCCGGCGACAAGCCGGAGGAAGGUGGGGAUGACGUCAAGUCAUCAUGGCCCUUAUGUCCAGGGCGACACACGUGCUACAAUGGCCGGCACAGCGGGAAGCGGAGGGGCGACCCUGAGCGGAUCCCUUGAAAGCCGGUCCCAGUUCGGAUUGCAGUCUGCAACUCGACUGCAUGAAGUUGGAAUCGCUAGUAAUCGCGGAUCAGCCAAGCCGCGGUGAAUACGUUCCCGGGCCUU